UACAGAGGUCUCAAGCGUUGUUCGGAUUCAUUGGGCGUAAAGGGCGCGUAGGUGGCGCUGUAAGUCGGGUGUGAAAUUUCGGAGCUUAACUCCGAAACUGCAUUCGAUACUGCGGUGCUUGAGGACUGGAGAGGAGACUGGAAUUCAUGGUGUAGCAGUGAAAUGCGUAGAGAUCAUGAGGAAGACCAGUGGCGAAGGCGGGUCUCUGGACAGUUCCUGACACUGAGGCACGAAGGCCAGGGGAGCAAACGGG
RNAcentral lists this ribosomal RNA (253 nucleotides) under uncultured bacterium. RNAcentral describes it as "partial 16S ribosomal RNA". It matches the Rfam family "Bacterial small subunit ribosomal RNA", at positions 524 to 776 of the family's 1533-position model. The record is from RNAcentral.